This 940-nucleotide ribosomal RNA is filed under the name bacterium enrichment culture. RNAcentral's name for it is "bacterial SSU rRNA". It matches the Rfam family "Bacterial small subunit ribosomal RNA", at positions 28 to 904 of the family's 1533-position model. The record is from RNAcentral.
GACGAACGCUGGCGGCGUGGAUUAGGCAUGCAAGUCGAACGGUAUAAACCUUUCGGGGUUUAGAGAGUGGCGAACGGGUGAGUAACACGUAGGUAAUCUACCCUCAAAACGGGGACAACCCAGGGAAACUUGGGCUAAUACCGGAUGCGUGCAAGCAAUGUUUUGGCUGUUAAUGCUAUUCACGGAAGUGAGUAGUGUUAAUGGUUGAGAGCAUUAUUUGCAUAAAAGGUGGCAUAUGCUGCCGUUUGAGGAUGAGCCUGCGUCCUAUUAGUUAGUUGGUGAGGUAAUGGCUUACCAAGGCGAUGAUAGGUAGGCGGCCUUAACGGGUGGUCGCCCACACUGGGAUUGAGAGACGGCCCAGACUCCUACGGGAGGCAGCAGUCGAGAAUAGUCUACAAUGGACGGAAGUCUGAUAGUGCGACGCCGCGUGAACGAAGAAUCCCUUCGGGGUGUAAAGUUCUUUUAUACGUGAGCAGUGCCCUUUAUAUGAAUAGUAUAGAGGGAGGGAUUUAAGCGUAUGAAUAAGCAACGGCUAACUCCGUGCCAGCAGCCGCGGUAACACGGGGGUUGCAAGCGUUGUCCGGAAUUACUAGGCGUAAAGUGCAGGUAGGCGGAUAGAUAAGUUUAAGGUUAAAGGCUACGGCUUACCCGUAGUAAGGCGUUAGAUACUGUUUAUCUGGAAUGCGGUUGAGGGAGACAGAAUUCCUGGUGUAGCGGUGGAAUGCGCAGAGAUCAGGAGGAAUACCGAAGGCGAAGGCAGUCUUCUAAGCCGAUAUUGACGCUAAACUGCGAAGGUGUGGGGAUCAAACAGGAUUAGAUACCCUGGUAGUCCACACAGUAAAACGAUAAUCACUAGUGUUGGGUUCGUAUAGGACUCGGUGCCGGAGCUAACGCGAUUAGUGAUUCGCCUGGGGGAGUACGAUCGCAAGGUUGAACUCAA